AUUUAGUUGUAACUGUUGUUCUGGAACAUAACUCAGUAAUUUCAUAAAUACUACCACAGAAGCAAAGCCAACUGUGUUAGAAGACAUGUAAUUAAAUACUAUUUGUCUUCAUGUGUUAUAUGAAUGUAUAUGUACAAUAAACUUGAGACAGCUUUAAAUGCAGGAACCAUUUAAGAAUCCAGUUUUAGAGUGAAUUUAAUGCAAGUUUCUUGCUUUAAAUUACCCCACAAAACAUGUUUCCUAGGAGAUUGACUCGUACAUUCAGUUCCCUUUUCUCCAUCUUUCCUCUUGCUUCGCGGCCUUCACCUCAGUUGCAGGAGGUAUGUGUCUCUUCUUUUCCUCUUCGUCUGAUUUCUUCCAAUCAUAUACAUUUUCGACGACAACGAAAAAGAGAAACAGAAAA
Molecule: long non-coding RNA, 403 nt
Filed under: Carica papaya (papaya)
Lineage: Eukaryota; Viridiplantae; Streptophyta; Magnoliopsida; Brassicales; Caricaceae
Description: long non-coding RNA (CPAP_LNC007366)
Source: RNAcentral